UACGGGGGGGGCAAGCGUUGUUCGGAAUUACUGGGCGUAAAGGGCUCGUAGGGGGCCAACUAAGUCAGACGUGAAAUCCCUCGGCUUAACCGGGGAACUGCGUCUGAUACUGGAUGGCUUGAGUUUGGGAGAGGGACGCGGAAUUCCAGGUGUAGCGGUGAAAUUCGUAGAUAUCGGGAGGAACACCAGUGGCGAAGGCGGAGGCCUGGGCCGAUACUGACGCUGAGGUGCGAAAGCGUGGGGAGCAAACAGG
RNAcentral lists this ribosomal RNA (253 nucleotides) under uncultured bacterium. RNAcentral describes it as "partial 16S ribosomal RNA". It matches the Rfam family "Bacterial small subunit ribosomal RNA", at positions 524 to 776 of the family's 1533-position model. The record is from RNAcentral.